GAUGAACGCUGGCGGCGUGCCUAAUACAUGCAAGUCGAGCGAACAGACGAGGAGCUUGCUCCUCUGACGUUAGCGGCGGACGGGUGAGUAACACGUGGAUAACCUACCUAUAAGACUGGGAUAACUUCGGGAAACCGGAGCUAAUACCGGAUAAUAUAUUGAACCGCAUGGUUCAAUAGUGAAAGACGGUUUUGCUGUCACUUAUAGAUGGAUCCGCGUCGCAUUAGCUAGUUGGUAAGGUAACGGCUUACCAAGGCGACGAUGCGUAGCCGACCUGGGAGGGUGAUCGGCCACACUGGAACUGAGACACGGUCCAGACUCCUACGGGAGGCAGCAGUAGGGAAUCUUCCGCAAUGGGCGAAAUCCUGACGGAGCAACGCCGCGGGAGUAAUGAAGGUCUUCGGAUCGUAAAACUCUGUUAUUAGGGAAGAACAAAUGUGUAAGUAACUAUGCACGUCUUGACGGUACCUAAUCAGAAAGCCACGGCUAACUACGUG
This 497-nucleotide ribosomal RNA is filed under the name uncultured bacterium. RNAcentral's name for it is "partial 16S ribosomal RNA". It matches the Rfam family "Bacterial small subunit ribosomal RNA", at positions 28 to 507 of the family's 1533-position model. The record is from RNAcentral.